RNAcentral lists this ribosomal RNA (497 nucleotides) under uncultured bacterium. Its description in RNAcentral is "partial 16S ribosomal RNA". It matches the Rfam family "Bacterial small subunit ribosomal RNA", at positions 28 to 507 of the family's 1533-position model. The record is from RNAcentral.
GAUGAACGCUGGCGGCGUGCCUAAUACAUGCAAGUCGAGCGAACGGACGAGAAGCUUGCUUCUCUGAUGUUAGCGGCGGACGGGUGAGUAACACGUGGAUAACCUACCUAUAAGACUGGGAUAACUUCGGGAAACCGGAGCUAAUACCGGAUAAUAUUUUGAACCGCAUGGUUCAAAAGUGAAAGACGGUCUUGCUGUCACUUAUAGAUGGAUCCGCGCUGCAUUAGCUAGUUGGUAAGGUAACGGCUUACCAAGGCAACGAUGCAUAGCCGACCUGAGAGGGUGAUCGGCCACACUGGAUCUGAGACACGGUCCAGACUCCUACGGGAGGCAGCAGUAGGGAAUCUUCCGCAAUGCGCGAAUGCCUGACGGAGCAACGCCGCGUGAGUGAUGAAGGUCUUCUGAUCGUAAAACUCUGUUAUUAGGGAAGAACAUAUGUGUAAGUAACUGUGCACAUCUUGACGGUACCUAAUCAGAAAGCCACGGCUAACUACGUG